GGCGGAGUAGCUCAAUGGUAGAGCCAAGGGGCCUCCUAUGUUGCUGGUUCGAGUCCAGCCUCCGCCC
This 67-nucleotide transfer RNA is filed under the name Megasphaera elsdenii. Its description in RNAcentral is "tRNA-OTHER". It matches the Rfam family "tRNA". From Rfam's summary of the family: Transfer RNA (tRNA) molecules are approximately 80 nucleotides in length. Their secondary structure includes four short double-helical elements and three loops (D, anti-codon, and T loops). Lineage: Bacteria; Bacillati; Bacillota; Negativicutes; Veillonellales; Veillonellaceae. The record is from RNAcentral.